GGGAGAUGAUGAUGAUGAUGAUGAUGCUCAUGGCCAUGCCCUUUGUAAAGAGUGGACGUCGCAGUUCUUUCUGCAAGCAUCGCUUGUUGUCAAAUGGUCAAGUGAGCCCAGUUUUAAUAUUAAACAGGGAUGUACAAGUCAUGCCUGGGAACCAUCCUCUCAUAGCAUGUUAGAGUCAAGAACCCUCCCCUUCCUUUUGACCGGUGCCCCAAGAGGAAACGAGCAGAGAUUUGAUCCAAUUGAAUUAAGUACUUGUUAUGUUGCCCUGUUGCAGGAUCUAUACAGCCAUAUGUGGGACGCAUCUUCCAUUGUUUGCCCUGACUUAAUCUUUCCUCAGAAUAAAUGCAAGUAAACACAUACUCUGUGUAAGAAUGCCUUGUUCAACACCAGAAAGAAUACCUUCUUUAAGACCAAAAACAAAUUUGCUUCAUUUUACAAGUGAUUUAUUUCCAAUGGCCUCUUGCCUGUGUUCAAGACACACUGAAGGCACAUCUUACAUUCAAACGAAAUAUUGCUUUGCACAGCUAAUGUAACAUAUUCCUUGUUGUUGCCUGCAAUAACCUUGCAAGCAAGAAACAUGUUUUGUUGUUGUUUAUAUGACUGAGCUUAAAAACAAGUCUGUAAUUGGGCAUCAUAAAUAAUGCUGCUUAUAUAUUCAUUUUACACAUAUGUCUUUCAAGGUACCUCUAGUUGUCAGUACCCAGACAUUCGCUGAAAUAUCCAGUCUUGCUAUUUCAACCUUCAUCAUCCACAGACGCAUUUGCAUCCAAAGUGGCACCUUCAUAUCCCAGUUUCACAUGUUGUCCGAGAACUUUCAUACGUGCAGACAGAGCUUGUUGUGCUUGCUGACUCCUCUUAGGUCUCUUCAAGCUUCCUCACAUCUUGUCUUUCAAUGCGUGUGCGUGACAUCGUUUGUUUUUCCAGUGCUUCCUGCAUCCCGUCUGUUGUUUCAGCCUUCCUGAAACCAUGUCAAUGACUAAGAGAUACAACAUGUUUGUAUGUGGAAAAGUUCACAGGAUCCUCGCUUGACAUUUUUGCAAUGCUACGCUUGCUAUUCAGUGUUUGCUUUUCCUGGGUAUCCCAUGGCCUUCCCCAAACGCGACCACACAUUUCAGCUCUCGUUGAUGUCGGGCAUUCAUGAUGGGGCACAGUCUAAUGAUGCCAUCUUCCCUCCCUUCUUAUGCCUCUUACAUUUUGUUUAUGACUGUGCUGAGAACAUCAACCACAAAGUUGUAGAUUUCGUCGGGUGCUUGAGCCUUUGGGCUUGAACUUGCAUUGCGAGCACUUGGCUACUGCUGCAGUAAGCGAAGAGUCGAACUGCCUUUCUAACGUUCACUGUAUAAUACCCCAAAAACAGAAUCACAUGGCGCGCUGAUGGCACACACUAUACGCCCUUUCUUCGUCUUUCCCCAACAGCUACCAUCUCUGUGUGUUUUGCCAUGGAUGGCACCUUUCCAGCCUUUGCAUGUUUUUAUGAAACGCCUCCACAUUAAUGGUGCAUCACCGUGCACCAAGAGAAAUUCAGGAUGUGGAGUCUCGUCACUGCAAUGAUGCUUGCAGGCUGUUUUUAUCUCCUAUGCAGUGUUCUGUUUCACUAUUGUAGCCUCUUGCAGCCAUAUCCAUUCAUUUGUACGGAGAGCUUGAGAGAUCUGUUUUAUGUGCUAACAUUCACUUUGUACUGUUCCACUGUCUUUAUGAUGCAGUAGAAUAAUCUGGAGCUUCAUCAUGUUCCAUAAGGCAAAGUAAUUUUUAGCCUUGCACGUCCUGUAACUUAUUUUUAAGCUUUGUCAUACCAACAACAACAAGACAUCUUUGCCUAACAAGGACACAGGUGUAGCACACAAUAUCAUGGCAUCAAAUGUCACCACAAUUGUGGCUACUAUUUCAGUAGCACACUGCCUUCCAGGCAUAUAUAUGGUACAAAUGCACACACAGUAUCCAGACUACAAAGAAAUUCUUUUCCUUUUUUUUUUCAAUGCUUCUGCAAUGUUUUCAGCUGUUUCCUUUACUCCCCAAAUCGUGCUUAAACUACUACUUCUGUGACGAACUUGUAGUACAGUGCUGACUUCUGUGUACAGUAAAACCCCCAGUGUACAGUGAAACCUCUAAUUACAGAGAUCCCCUCAGGUCACACGCCUCCGUUUGACCGGACAGCAGCCAUUGCCUAGGAAGUAGUAUUUAGCAUCUCUUAUGGACGUCCGUUCUAUGAGCAACUUCCUUUCAUCUACAGAAACACCAGACAUUGACUGUUUGUACUAGACAGAUCUCACCACAUUCCACAUUUCUUUUUUUGCACCAUUGCAUGAUUUUCCAUAAACACAAUACAACUAGGCUUUCCAGUGUUCUGUGUUUAUAUUUUCCGAGGUGGCAUAAGAUAGGGCGAAGAAAAUUGACACAGAGAAGUUAUCCUAUUAUUUCAUUAUGUUAUUAGACAAUUCAAUGUUGUACCACUGUAAUUUGGUUUGGUGUUCAUUUUUGCUGUGUUUCGGGAGAUCUCAAAAAUUCUAAACACUGGAAACCCUAAAUACAACACAUACAGUACCCACAUACAAUGAGUAGAUACACAAGGACCAGUACAGCAUCUGCCAUUCUUUUACUUUUUAUGUUUCUUUUCUCUAUGCUUAAUGCAAAUGUUUUUUACAGAUGAUGGACGAAAGUGUACUCAUCAUGAGGGUCAAUCAUUUCCUUCAUUCCUAUGACCUUCUGGCAGCCAAGGACACUUGGCCACUUCACACAUUACGGACGACGAACACAUAAAGCAGUCCAGUGAACUUCGAUGCAACUUAGCCGCAACUAUAACGAAUGUCUGAAGCUUGUACGCUUAUGUAUCAGGUCACCCCAUGAAAUGUUAUGAAAUUCUGGCACUACAAAAUUAAUUAAGAACACACUUGUCAUCAAACAACAAUGACAACACAAUGGUGUGUAACAGAAUUCAAAAUCUAAUUCCACAGUCCUGCUUUUUAGUUGUAGGGCUAAAUUUUUUUACACCAUAUGCCGGAUAAACAAGAUGAGUAGGAAAUAUUUUCCCAGUGACGUUUCUGUAACUUCUUGCAGGUCCUCCUUGCCGCCCAUAGGCAGGCAUUAUCUCUCUGCAGCCCACCCUUACAAUUGACCUGUGCUGGGGGCUUCUUCGACUCUUCCAGCUGCUAGCAGUAGGUGUUCGCAGUGACUUUCCAGCUCAGUGGAGACAAUCUCGCAUGGAUGAUACCAUGCACCCUCCACUAGGCAUACAACGCCAAUUUCCGCAGCUGAAGUUCGCCUUGCUGCAGUUGCUUGAAGUUGCCUUACACACACACCUUGCUGAUACAACUUGCUGCAGUUUGAUCUCGUUGCGUGCACAAUGAAGCCAUCUUCAUCCCAUCCGAGUGUGUGUGGUGACUCUCGAUGGCAUCUUAGCACACAUCCCAGAGCACUCACUUGCUGCGAGAGCAUCAGCUCGGGAUGGAGCCAUGCGACAUUGUGGGCCUCUUCAGGGGCCCACGGUGCCAAAGGCCUAACUUUUGCUGCGCCCAAGCAUAUGAACCCAUCACAUACGGUGAGUCCACCAUGCCCUUUCUUACUGCGCUGUUAGGAAUGUGCACUUUCUUUCAAGGAGGUGUUUCACAAGAAAGUUUUUUAAGUAGUCAUCCAUUAGGGAUUCCUUUAUAUAGUCAUCUCUGUAUCACUUGUCAUUACAGCGCAAGCCUGAAUGUAAUAUGAUGAGCCCUAUACCUUCUGUGGUACUCCAUAGGCCCCUCUCCGUGGAGGGCACCUGAAUGUACCAGUGUCGGCGACAUUAACACAUUUCUUAUGCCAGGACUGUUUGCACACAGUGCACUCUACUCUGUCUUCCUGGUUCGUCGGCAGUCUACAGUUCAGGCAGGUGUCUGCUGUCUCUGUGACACAAUCCCUGCUGAGGCAGUUCCCUGUGAUUGUAUCGUAUAUGUGCCUUCUCAUUUGUAGCACAUCACAUUCUCUAUGGAAACCAUCAGCGUCAUUCUUACAAAAUAAUUCGGCGUACCAGCACACAAGCACGCCACAGCUGCUUGUAUCAGUUUGGAGUGUCUGCAUCACUUUGUCAAAUUGCCAAUGUCUUCUUCGAUGUGCAAACAAUUUACGUCCGUACUUCUUGCUGAGAAACUCGCACACAAGAAGUGCGGCCUU
Molecule: long non-coding RNA, 4143 nt
Organism: Ornithodoros turicata
Lineage: Eukaryota; Metazoa; Arthropoda; Arachnida; Ixodida; Argasidae
Exons: 3
Source: RefSeq, a predicted model, not a curated record